GGGCCUGUAGCUCAGGUGGUUAGAGCGCACCCCUGAUAAGGGUGAGGUCGCUGGUUCAAGUCCAUUCAGGCCCACCA
RNAcentral lists this transfer RNA (77 nucleotides) under Ileibacterium valens. RNAcentral's name for it is "tRNA-Ile". It matches the Rfam family "tRNA". Rfam says of the family: Transfer RNA (tRNA) molecules are approximately 80 nucleotides in length. Lineage: Bacteria; Bacillati; Bacillota; Erysipelotrichia; Erysipelotrichales; Erysipelotrichaceae. The record is from RNAcentral. RNAcentral also lists the same sequence under 4 other names.